Molecule: long non-coding RNA, 1058 nt
Organism: Biomphalaria glabrata
Lineage: Eukaryota; Metazoa; Mollusca; Gastropoda; Planorbidae
Exons: 2
Source: RefSeq, a predicted model, not a curated record
CUCUCUUUCUGUUAUAUAAAACAAAAUAAAUAAUUAAUACUAGUUGAUUAACUAAUUGAUUAAUUUUGAGAUUGAUUCGUGUAUUGCAAUCGACUAUGAAUAAUUAUGCAGAAUUUUAACUUGAUCCAAGAAUAGGAAGUGAGAGAGAGAACGUGACAAAACGUAAUAAGGGGAUUAAAUCCAUAAUUACAUCAUUAUCUCACAUUAAGUAGCAUUUAUUCCCCUUAUUAUGAUAUCACUCAAAAUAAUUAAUUACCUGCAAUUGGCUAUUUUUUGUGUGCUUCAUGCUUUGUCAGUGACCUAGUUGGUAUUUCGUGCUUGCUAUAUUCUUCAACAUCAACUGCCUGGUCAUAUGUUGCACUCUUCAAACUGUCGUCAAGGUUUUCCCCGAGUUCUAACACUGCUCGCUUCCAUCCUGCAGGAUGGUUUAGACUGAACAAACUAUGAACUAAUGUUCAUUUCUGAUGAGAAGUCUUUACAACUCUGUAGUAGUUUUUAAAGCUGUUAACAUUGUGUUUGUUGUCAAUAGAAUUGUUUCCCCUUGGCAAGGGAGUUAAUGUUUGACAUGAUGAGUUUCUGCGUAAAUAAAAUUCACUCAGGAAUCCAAAAAGUUUAUUAUAACUAUAAUUAUCAUAGGGUGGACCAAAAGCUGACCAAAAAAGGUUUGGUUUGAGUUCAACUUUUCUUUUUUUUUCCCCACUAUCAUUGGUGAAUGCCUGACAAGAAAUGCAUUUUGAAAAAAAAAAACUGGCCCAGGGGCAAUAAAAAAAAAAUUACUUUUGAGAAAUGCAUCAAAUAUGAAAGCUACUAAAUUUUUAAGAGAUUGAGAUAGAAAACAUACAAAUUAAAACAUACAAAGACAGUGUUGACAAUGCCAUUUUAUUUAUUUUUUUUCAAUAUCCUAUAGGUAAAUACAAAAUACAAUUCGUAAACGUAAUUACAAACAUUAGAACAAUAAUAUAUAUGUGUAAUGUAGGCUAUGUUAUAUUGUUUUGUGGCAGUUAACAGAGUAUAUUCAUUGUGUAUAUUAAUAUGUAUAGUGGAUGUAGACUGAUGUA